RNAcentral lists this ribosomal RNA (265 nucleotides) under uncultured archaeon. RNAcentral describes it as "partial 16S ribosomal RNA". It matches the Rfam family "Archaeal small subunit ribosomal RNA", at positions 748 to 1009 of the family's 1478-position model. The record is from RNAcentral.
CAGCCCUAAACGAUGCGCGUUAGGUGUAUCGGUGACCACGAGUCACCGAGGUGCCGAAGGGAAACCGUGAAACGUGCCGCCUGGGAAGUACGGUCGCAAGGCUGAAACUUAAAGGAAUUGGCGGGGGAGCACCACAACGGGUGGAGCUUGCGGUUUAAAUUUGGAUUCAACGCCGGAAAUACUUACCGGGACCGACAGCAACAUGAAGGCCAGGCUGAAGACUUUGCCGGAUUAAGCUGAGAGGAGGUGCAUGGCGUAGUCGUGU